Molecule: ribosomal RNA, 253 nt
Filed under: uncultured prokaryote
Description: partial 16S ribosomal RNA
Rfam family: Bacterial small subunit ribosomal RNA
Source: RNAcentral
ACGGGGGGGGCAAGCGUUGUUCGGAAUUACUGGGCGUAAAGGGCUCGUAGGCGGCCAACUAAGUCAGACGUGAAAUCCCCAGGCUCAACUUGGGAACUGCGUCUGAUACUGGAUGGCUUGAAUUCGGGAGAGGGAUGCAGAAUUCCAGGUGUAGCGGUGAAAUGCGUAGAUAUCUGGAGGAAUACCGGUGGCGAAGGCGGCAUCCUGGACGACACCUGACGCUGAGGCACGAAAGCUGGGGGAGCGAACAGGA